GAAGGGGGCUAGCGUUGUUCGGAAUUACUGGGCGUAAAGCGCGCGUAGGCGGUGAUCUUUGUCAGAGGUGAAAGCCCCGGGCUCAACUCCGGAAUUGCCUUUGAAACGGGAUCGCUAGAGUCCGAGAGAGGAUGGCGGAAUUCCUAGUGUAGAGGUGAAAUUCGUAGAUAUUAGGAAGAACACCGGUGGCGAAGGCGGCCAUCUGGCUCGGUACUGACGCUCAGGCGCGAAAGCGUGGGGAGCAAACAGGAUUAGAUACCCUGGUAGUCCACGCCGUAAACUAUGAAUGCUAGUUGUUAGGAAGUUUACUUCUUAGUGACGCAGCUAACGCGUUAAGCAUUCCGCCUGGGGAGUACGGUCGCAAGAUUA
This 369-nucleotide ribosomal RNA is filed under the name uncultured bacterium. RNAcentral describes it as "bacterial SSU rRNA". It matches the Rfam family "Bacterial small subunit ribosomal RNA", at positions 527 to 896 of the family's 1533-position model. The record is from RNAcentral.